Molecule: long non-coding RNA, 387 nt
Organism: Suricata suricatta (meerkat)
Lineage: Eukaryota; Metazoa; Chordata; Mammalia; Carnivora; Herpestidae
Exons: 3
Source: RefSeq, a predicted model, not a curated record
UAAGGCAGCCGGAGGACACACCUGUGUGGAAGCCUGAGGUCUCUGUUCGGUCCGCCGUCACCCCCAUCUCCUGCUCCCCAGCAGCUGCCCUUGGCUUCCAUCAGGCAUCAGACAGGCAGUGUAGUACGUCUUUCACAAAUGAGCAAGUCAACUAAGGCUGGCCGGGAGGGGCCAAUCCUCAGGAGGGUCGAACCCAGGUGGAAGAGGCAAAUUCCUUAACUCCAAGGGGAACCGAAGAUCUGGUCCUAAUUCUCGGGCCAUGCAGCUAGUGAACCAAGGAGCUGGCUGUGAACCCUUGCUGGUCUGACCCCGGGAUCCCUGUUCCUGUGGUGCCUGUCUACACUACAAAGAAGAAAGCGGUUGGGGUUGAAGAGAGAAGAGGAAACA